This 89-nucleotide transfer RNA is filed under the name Propionibacteriaceae bacterium. RNAcentral describes it as "tRNA-Ser". The record is from RNAcentral. Lineage: Bacteria; Bacillati; Actinomycetota; Actinomycetes; Propionibacteriales; Propionibacteriaceae.
CGGAGAGUGAUGCAGUCUCGGGUGCUGCCGCCGCUUCGAAUACGGUCGGUUCGGGAAACCGAAUGGGGUUCGAAUCCUCCUCUCUCCGC